Sinocyclocheilus rhinocerous is the source of this 175-nucleotide long non-coding RNA. RefSeq lists it as uncharacterized. The transcript has 3 exons. The record is from RefSeq and is a predicted model, not a curated record. NCBI's taxonomy places the organism in Eukaryota, Metazoa, Chordata, Actinopteri, Cypriniformes, Cyprinidae.
UAAAAAUAGUAAUAAGUGGUAGUAAAUAGCAGAGAUGUAAAAAGUACACAUAUCCUUCACUCAAGUAGAAGUACAGAUACUCAUGUUUAAAAAUACUCUGGUAAAAUAAAAAGUAACCAUUACUACUACCUGUUUUAGUGUCACACUGGUAAUGGGACCUCACGUCAUAUAAAUA